This 75-nucleotide transfer RNA is filed under the name Puniceicoccales bacterium. RNAcentral describes it as "tRNA-Glu". It matches the Rfam family "tRNA". Rfam says of the family: Transfer RNA (tRNA) molecules are approximately 80 nucleotides in length. Their secondary structure includes four short double-helical elements and three loops (D, anti-codon, and T loops). The record is from RNAcentral. Lineage: Bacteria; Pseudomonadati; Verrucomicrobiota; Opitutia; Puniceicoccales.
GCCCUCAUCGUCUAACGGUCAGGACGCCGGAUUCUCAUUCCGGCAAUCGGGGUUCGAUUCCCCGUGGGGGUGCCA